GGAGUGGUAGUUCAGUUGGUUAGAAUACCGGCCUGUCACGCCGGGGGGCGCGGGUUCGAGUCCCGUCCGCUCCGCCA
Molecule: transfer RNA, 77 nt
Filed under: Sulfuriferula nivalis
Lineage: Bacteria; Pseudomonadati; Pseudomonadota; Betaproteobacteria; Nitrosomonadales; Sulfuricellaceae
Description: tRNA-Asp
Rfam family: tRNA
About the family: Transfer RNA (tRNA) molecules are approximately 80 nucleotides in length. Their secondary structure includes four short double-helical elements and three loops (D, anti-codon, and T loops).
Source: RNAcentral